This 499-nucleotide long non-coding RNA is filed under the name Gossypium barbadense (sea-island cotton). RNAcentral's name for it is "long non-coding RNA (GBAR_LNC013736)". Lineage: Eukaryota; Viridiplantae; Streptophyta; Magnoliopsida; Malvales; Malvaceae. The record is from RNAcentral.
CUGGUUCAUCGAGGUUUCCGUUUUCUGUCAGUAAGGUAAAGAAGUGGUGGUCGGUCUGAGAAUAUUCUUGGGCCAUCACUGGCCAUAGAUUCCGACUUCCAUGCAGGUCCUAUAAGCCAAGACACUGCCGCUCCUCCAAGCAAGCCUCCUAGCUGAAAUUGUAAGUUAAGAUUUUAAGCAAUCUCAGUAGUAAAACUUUAAAUACAGGUAUACUACAAGUACACGUGUAAGAAGGACGGUAGUUAAGACUUACAUGACCCCAAUCAUCAAUGCCACUUGACAUUAGUCCAAUAACCUGCAUGAUCCGCAUUCAUUUCCACUGAGCUCGGAGAAAAAUAAGAGCAAAAGCGUUUGAUAGGCUGUUUAGGGUUCUCAUAGGUUGAGUAGCAAAAGCUUUGAAUCAUACCAUGUUUAGGAAAUAACUUGCGAUAUGUGUUGCAGAUCUUCUUUGGCAUCUCUGAUCAUACCUCUAUGUCUCAUGACAAACACAGCAACAGAA